RNAcentral lists this long non-coding RNA (216 nucleotides) under Physcomitrium patens. RNAcentral describes it as "long non-coding RNA (PPAT_LNC005832)". The record is from RNAcentral. Lineage: Eukaryota; Viridiplantae; Streptophyta; Bryopsida; Funariales; Funariaceae.
CUUCUUCGUAGAGUUUUGGGAAGACUGAGGCAAUCGCUGCUGAAGUCAAUAUUGUAAUGGUGAAUCGGGAUUUUUAAUGAAGUGGGUUUGAAUACUCUUGACUGUUUUGUGAAAUCGAGUUACGUCUUUGAUUGAAGGAUUAAAAGGGUGUCUAUAGGAUUGAGUAUGCGGAGUGAAUGAAAUUUAUUGGGUUAAUCUAACAAGACAGUCAGUGGA